RNAcentral lists this ribosomal RNA (425 nucleotides) under uncultured bacterium. RNAcentral's name for it is "bacterial SSU rRNA". It matches the Rfam family "Bacterial small subunit ribosomal RNA", at positions 359 to 776 of the family's 1533-position model. The record is from RNAcentral.
GAAUUUUGGACAAUGGGGGCAACCCUGAUCCAGCCAUGCCGCGUGCGGGAAGAAGGCCUUCGGGUUGUAAACCGCUUUUAGUCGGGAAGAAAAGGCGCCACCUAAUACGGGGCGUUCUUGACGGUACCGGCGGACUAAGCACCGGCUAACUACGUGCCAGCAGCCGCGGUAAUACGUAGGGUGCGAGCGUUAAUCGGAAUUACUGGGCGUAAAGCGUGCGUAGGCGGUUCGUUAAGUUCGUCGUGAAAGCCCCGGGCUCAACCUGGGAAUGGCGAUGGAAACUGGCGGGCUGGAGUAUGGCAGAGGGGGGUGGAAUUCCGCGUGUAGCAGUGAAAUGCGUAGAGAUGCGGAGGAACACCAAUGGCGAAGGCAGCCCCCUGGGCCAAUACUGACGCUCAGGCACGAAAGCGUGGGGAGCAAACAGG